UAGGCUUCACACGUCAUACAAUGGUCGGUACAGGAGGGUUGCCAAGCCGCGAGGCGGAGCCAAUACCCACAAAGCCGAUCGUAGUCCGGAUUGUUCUCUGCAACUCGAGAGCAUGAAGUCGGAAUCGCUAGUAAUCGCAGGUCAGCAUACUGCGGUGAAUACGUUCCCGGGUCUU
This 175-nucleotide ribosomal RNA is filed under the name uncultured Thiobacillus sp. RNAcentral's name for it is "partial 16S ribosomal RNA". It matches the Rfam family "Bacterial small subunit ribosomal RNA", at positions 1210 to 1382 of the family's 1533-position model. Lineage: Bacteria; Pseudomonadati; Pseudomonadota; Betaproteobacteria; Nitrosomonadales; Thiobacillaceae. The record is from RNAcentral.